RNAcentral lists this ribosomal RNA (467 nucleotides) under uncultured bacterium. RNAcentral's name for it is "partial 16S ribosomal RNA". It matches the Rfam family "Bacterial small subunit ribosomal RNA", at positions 29 to 507 of the family's 1533-position model. The record is from RNAcentral.
ACGAACGCUGGCGGCGUGCUUCACACAUGCAAGUCGCACGGAAAGGCCCUGCUUUUGUGGGGUGCUCGAGUGGCGAACGGGUGGGUAACACGUGAGUAACCUGCCCUUGACUUUGGGAUAACUUCAGGAAACUGGGGCUAAUACCGGAUAGGAGCUCCUGCUGCAUGGUGGGGGUUGGAAAGUUUCGGCGGUUGGGGAUGGACUCGCGGCUUAUCAGCUUGUUGGUGGGGUAGUGGCUUACCAAGGCUUUGACGGGUAGCCGGCCUGAGAGGGUGACCGGCCACAUUGGGACUGAGAUACGGCCCAGACUCCUACGGGAGGCAGCAGUGGGGAAUAUUGCACAAUGGGCGGAAGCCUGAUGCAGCAACGCCGCGUGCGGGAUGACGGCCUUCGGGUUGUAAACCGCUUUCGCCUGUGACGAAGCGUGAGUGACGGUAAUGGGUAAAGAAGCACCGGCUAACUACGUG